AAAAGAGGCAAAAGACAUUCAUCCCCUGCCCUCAUCCUUGCUUACCAUCUAUAUUUCCUUCUUGUCUGUGUCCCUUUUUGUACUUCUUUCUGGUUUCUUCUGGGCAUUUAAACGUAUUCACUGGUGCAUUUUUUUCAUCAUACUUACCCAUAAUCCCCCAUUAACACUCCCCCUUCCUCCAAUAAUAUAUGUGUGAGAGAAACACAGAGAGAGAAAGAGACAGAGAUAAGAAAGUGACAAAGAUAAGAAGAGACAGAGAGAAAGAAUUAGUAACUAGAGAGAAAGGAGGAAUCAGGAAAGGCAAUGGAACAUCAAAGAAAUUGUAUAAAAAUGUAUGUCAAGAGAAGGAGUAGUUAGAGCCAGCUCUCUGGAGGGAGGAGGAAAGGGAGAGAGAGAGAAACAGUCUGGAUAUUAUGACUUUGGAAAAUGACUAAGGAGGAAGUCAUUCUUUAUUAUUGUCUGGCACCAUUUAACAUGUUGGGGCUGACGGGACCGCGAACUCAAAAGAGUCUGGAGACUUUCCUUGUACCUGGUGAGCUCCAUUUCCAUUUCUGCUAUGAUAUCUUGUUCAGUCAUUUUUCAGUCCUGCCUAACUCUUCAUGACCCCAUUUGGGGAUUUCUUGGCAAGUAUUUUAGGGGUUUGUCAUUUCUUUCUCCAGUUCAUUCUACAGAUGAGGAAACUGCAGC
This 687-nucleotide long non-coding RNA is filed under the name Monodelphis domestica (gray short-tailed opossum). RNAcentral's name for it is "lncRNA (ENSMODG00000042448.1)". Lineage: Eukaryota; Metazoa; Chordata; Mammalia; Didelphimorphia; Didelphidae. The record is from RNAcentral.